GUUUGACCCUUGAGCAGAGGUUGCCCUUGGUGAAUUCGCUUUAUUUAUGUUGAAUCACACAAAGGCAACUUUUGUUUGAGUAUCAAAU
This 88-nucleotide microRNA precursor is filed under the name Callithrix jacchus (white-tufted-ear marmoset). Lineage: Eukaryota; Metazoa; Chordata; Mammalia; Primates; Cebidae. RNAcentral also lists the same sequence under 6 other names. The record is from RNAcentral.